GCAGCCGCGGUAAUACGUAGGGGGCUAGCGUUAUCCGGAAUUACUGGGCGUAAAGGGUGCGUAGGUGGUUUCUUAAGUCAGAGGUGAAAGGCUACGGCUCAACCGUAGUAAGCCUUUGAAACUGGGAAACUUGAGUGCAGGAGAGGAGAGUGGAAUUCCUAGUGUAGCGGUGAAAUGCGUAGAUAUUAGGAGGAACACCAGUUGCGAAGGCGGCUCUCUGGACUGUAACUGACACUGAGGCACGAAAGCGUGGGGAGCAAACAGGAUUAGAUACCCU
This 277-nucleotide ribosomal RNA is filed under the name uncultured Romboutsia sp. RNAcentral describes it as "partial 16S ribosomal RNA". It matches the Rfam family "Bacterial small subunit ribosomal RNA", at positions 511 to 788 of the family's 1533-position model. Lineage: Bacteria; Bacillati; Bacillota; Clostridia; Peptostreptococcales; Peptostreptococcaceae. The record is from RNAcentral.